GUGUCAGCAGCCGCGGUAAUACGAAGGGGGCUAGCGUUGUUCGGAAUUACUGGGCGUAAAGCGCACGUAGGCGGGUCGUUAAGUCAGGGGUGAAAUCCCGGAGCUCAACUCCGGAACUGCCUUUGAUACUGGCGAUCUAGAGAUCGGAAGAGGUGAGUGGAAUUCCCAGUGUAGAGGUGAAAUUCGUAGAUAUUGGGAAGAACACCAGUGGCGAAGGCGGCUCACUGGUCCGAUACUGACGCUGAGGUGCGAAAGCGUGGGGAGCAAACAGGAUUAGAAACCCCCGUAGUCC
Molecule: ribosomal RNA, 292 nt
Filed under: uncultured bacterium
Lineage: Bacteria
Description: partial 16S ribosomal RNA
Rfam family: Bacterial small subunit ribosomal RNA
Source: RNAcentral